GGUUAGAGCGCGCGCUUGAUAAGCGUGAGGUCGGAAGUUCAAGUCUUCCCUGGCC
Molecule: transfer RNA, 55 nt
Filed under: Prymnesium neolepis
Lineage: Eukaryota; Haptophyta; Prymnesiales; Prymnesiaceae
Description: partial tRNA
Rfam family: tRNA
About the family: Transfer RNA (tRNA) molecules are approximately 80 nucleotides in length. Their secondary structure includes four short double-helical elements and three loops (D, anti-codon, and T loops).
Source: RNAcentral